GACGAACCGUCCAAACGUUAUUCGGAAUUACUGGGCUUAAAGGGUGCGUAGGCGGCGCGGAAAGUUGGGUGUGAAAUCCCUCGGCUCAACCGAGGAACUGCGCUCAAUACUACCGUGCUCGAGGGAGAUAGAGGUGAGCGGAACUUAGGGUGGAGCGGUGAAAUGCGUUGAUAUCCUAAGGAACACCGGUGGCGAAAGCGGCUCACUGGAUCUCUUCUGACGCUGGGGCACGAAAGCUAGGGUAGCGAACGGG
RNAcentral lists this ribosomal RNA (253 nucleotides) under uncultured bacterium. RNAcentral describes it as "partial 16S ribosomal RNA". It matches the Rfam family "Bacterial small subunit ribosomal RNA", at positions 524 to 776 of the family's 1533-position model. The record is from RNAcentral.